This 492-nucleotide ribosomal RNA is filed under the name uncultured bacterium. RNAcentral describes it as "partial 16S ribosomal RNA". It matches the Rfam family "Bacterial small subunit ribosomal RNA", at positions 29 to 507 of the family's 1533-position model. The record is from RNAcentral.
AGUGAACGCUGGCGGUAGACCUAACACAUGCAAGUCGAACGGCAGCACAGUAAGAGCUUGCUCUUACGGGUGGCGAGUGGCGGACGGGUGAGGAUUACAUCGGAAUCUACUUUUUCGUGGGGGAUAACGUAGGGAAACUUACGCUAAUACCGCAUACGACCUACGGGUGAAAGCAGGGGAUCUUCUGACCUUGCGCGAUUGAAUGAGCCGAUGUCGGAUUAGCUAGUUGGCGGGGUAAAGGCCCACCAAGGCGACGAUCCGUAGCUGGUCUGAGAGGAUGAUCAGCCACACUGGAACUGAGACACGGUCCAGACUCCUACGGGAGGCAGCAGUGGGGAAUAUUGGACAAAGGGCGCAAGCCUGAUCCAGCCAUACCGCGUGGGUGAAGAAGGCCUUCGGGUUGUAAAGCCCUUUUGUUGGGAAAGAAAAGCAGCAGGUUAAUACCCCGCUGUUCUGACGGUACCCAAAGAAUAAGCACCGGCUAACUUCGUG